GGUUGGGCUUUCUUAACCAAGUAGUAAUUUCCUUGUCUAUCCUAAAUGUUGCCACAUGUUGGCCUCUCUGCAAGGUGAUGCCUCCCAGUUCCGAUUGCAGGAACCUCUUCAGGCUCUGUGAAGGUUUGUUGGAUUGGGCUUGUUUCCUUACAAUUGUUUGAGCUGGAAGGGACCUUUAAAGGCCAUCUGGUCCAGCCUACCUGCAAUGAACAAGGACACCUACAGCUCUGUCAGGUGCUCAGAGCCCCUUCCAGCCUGACCUUGGGUGUCUCCAGGGAUGGGGCAUCCACCACCUCUCUGUGGUGGCAACCUGUGCCAGUGCCUCACUGAUUGUAAAAAACAUAUUCCUUAUAUCCAGUCUAAAUCUCCCCUCUUUUAGUUUACAACCAUUUCCUCUUGUCUUAUCACCACAGACCCUGCUGAAGAGUCUGUCUCCUUCUUUCUUACAGCCUCCCUUUAAAUACUGAAAAGCUGCUCUCAGGUCCCCCCCGAGCCUUCUCUCCUCCAGGCUGCACAGCCCCAGCUCUCUCAGCCUGUCCUCAUAGGAAAGGCAUUCCAUCCCUUGAAUAAUUUUUGUGGUUCUCCUCCAGACGUUCCUCAACAGGUCCACAUCUGUCCUGUGCUGAGGACUCCACAUCUGGAUGCAGUGCUCCAGGUGAGGUCCCACAGCGCAGAGCAGAGGUGAAGGAUCACCUCCCUCCAACUGCUGACCACACUGCUUUGGAUGCAGCCCAAAAUAAUUAAAUUAUCCAUAACAAAAAUGAUAAGAAAAAAAAAAAACCCACACCAACGUGAAAGCAAGUCUUCACAAAAGUCCUCAGAUUUUUAAGGCUGUGUUAUGUUGCUGAGAAUAUCUAAAAGGAGAGUAUGCCUGAGUGAGAGAUAGUGCUCAUGACUGCUGCUAAGGCAUUACGAGAGGUGAUUUUUGGCCCUAGUCGCAAGGAUACAUGCCGAGCUUGAUGGCACAAGGGCUUCUCUUCUUCCCCAACCUCAUAAUGAAGCCCAGUACGCAUCCUUCACCUUUGCCCAUCCCCAGGCCAACAUUAAUGACACAAUGACUACAGAUGCAGGGAGAAAUUCUGCCUCUGGGAUGUCUCUGACCCUCACUACUGUGGCACUGUGCAUCUCACUGUGCUGCCCUCUGGAAGGGACCCAUCAGGAUCACUGACAUGGGCCUGUCCAUCCCAAAAAGAGCCCGAGCCCACCUCCAGAAGUUUUCUGAGUGAUUCCAGCCACGGCACAAGCAGAGCUUUGAUGGGCGAUGACUGCGGGGCAGAGAUUGCAUGAAACGUCCCCUUAUGCCAAGGUCCGGUGGGAGCGCAGCGAAGGGGAGAACCGACCCACCACAGACCCCAAGGAGCCCUCCGAGGCCGCCGUUCCCUCUCUGGGCAGAGCUGCGCGUUCCCGGCCAUGGGCUGUUUUAAGGCAUCGUGUCGGCAGGUGGUGCUCGGGGGCCGGCGAGCAUCCCGCAUCCCUGGUUGGGUGAGCAGCUAACCUGAAAAAAGUCCUCUGGUAG
This 1516-nucleotide long non-coding RNA is filed under the name Gallus gallus (chicken). Its description in RNAcentral is "lncRNA (ENSGALG00010027503.1)". The record is from RNAcentral. Lineage: Eukaryota; Metazoa; Chordata; Aves; Galliformes; Phasianidae.